This 468-nucleotide ribosomal RNA is filed under the name uncultured bacterium. Its description in RNAcentral is "partial 16S ribosomal RNA". It matches the Rfam family "Bacterial small subunit ribosomal RNA", at positions 28 to 507 of the family's 1533-position model. The record is from RNAcentral.
GACGAACGCUGGCGGCGUGCUUAACACAUGCAAGUCGAACGGAAAGGCCCUGCUUUUGUGGGGUGACCGAGUGGCGAACGGGUGCGUAACACGUGAGCAACCUGCCCUUGACUUUGGGAUAACUUCAGGAAACUGGGGCUACUCCAGUAUCGGAGCCCCUGUUGCAUGGUGGGGGUUGGAACGUUGCGGCGGUUGGGGAUGGAUUCGCGGGUGAUCAGCUUGUUGGUGGGGUAGUGGCUUACCAAGGAUUUGACGGGUAGCCGGCCUGGGAGGGUGACCGGCCACAUUGGGACUAAGGUACGGCCCAGAGUCCUACAGGAGGCAGUAGUGGGAAGUAUUGCACAAUGGGCGGGAGCCUGAUGCGGCGACGCCGCGUGCGGGAUGACGGCCUUCGGGUUGUAAACCGCUUUCGCCUGAGACGAAGCGUGAGUGACGGUAAUGGAUAAAGAAGCACCGGCUAACUACGUG